AAGCUAGUAAGAUCCCUGAAAGAUGAUCAGGUUGAUAGGUUCGAGGUGGAAGCAUGGUGACAUGUGGAGCUGACGAAUACUAAUAGAUCGAGGACUUAACCAUAUAA
Molecule: ribosomal RNA, 107 nt
Filed under: Bacillus thuringiensis serovar thailandensis
Lineage: Bacteria; Bacillati; Bacillota; Bacilli; Caryophanales; Bacillaceae
Description: partial 23S ribosomal RNA
Rfam family: Bacterial large subunit ribosomal RNA
Source: RNAcentral